AAGAUAUUAGAAAAACUAUUUCAUAACUUUGUCAAGGUUAAAUUACGGGUUAAACCCCGUAUAUCUUA
Non-coding RNA from Gorilla gorilla gorilla (western lowland gorilla), 68 nucleotides. The record is from Ensembl. NCBI's taxonomy places the organism in Eukaryota, Metazoa, Chordata, Mammalia, Primates, Hominidae.